UGAACGCUGGCGGCAGGCCUACCACAUGCAAGUCGAACGGUAACAGGAAGAAGCUUGCUUCUUUGCUGACGAGUGGCGGACGGGUGAGUAAUGUCUGGGAAACUGCCUGAUGGAGGGGGAUAACUACUGGAAACGGUAGCUAAUACCGCAUAACGUCGCAAGACCAAAGAGGGGGACCUUCGGGCCUCUUGCCAUCGGAUGUGCCCAGAUGGGAUUAGCUAGUAGGUGGGGUAACGGCUCACCUAGGCGACGAUCCCUAGCUGGUCUGAGAGGAUGACCAGCCACACUGGAACUGAGACACGGUCCAGACUCCUACGGGAGGCAGCAGUGGGGAAUAUUGCACAAUGGGCGCAGGCCUGAUGCAGCCAUGCCGCGUGUAUGAAGAAGGCCUUCGGGUUGUAAAGUACUUUCAGCGGGGAGGAAGGGAGUAAAGUUAAUACCUUUGCUCAUUGACGUUACCCGCAGAAGAAGCACCGGCUAACUCCGUG
RNAcentral lists this ribosomal RNA (488 nucleotides) under uncultured bacterium. Its description in RNAcentral is "partial 16S ribosomal RNA". It matches the Rfam family "Bacterial small subunit ribosomal RNA", at positions 30 to 507 of the family's 1533-position model. The record is from RNAcentral.